UGCAGCAGCAUGUGAAAAUAAACUACCAAAUCAGUUAAAACAAUGGAUUUGUUAGAUAUUGAGAGUGUGCUGAGGAUGUUGAAAUCUUCAAGGAUAUAGAAGAAUGGCUGCAAGUCAUCUGAAAGUCCGCGAUCACGAGUAGAUUGCUCAACUGAAUGCCCUUAUAAACAUGCUGUUAGGGGAACUCACCCCUGGUGAUCAUCAGAACAUCAUGACAAUAUGCACAAUUGAUGUACAUGCAAGGGAUGUUGUAGCCACGCUUAUAGCACAGAAGCAUUUACUCACUGUAAAAUCCACCUUUUGGCAACACAUAGCUCCCAAGAUCAAGGAUUGUGCUGUUUCUCUGCAUUUCCAAACACCCUCCCAUCCCCAC
Prinia subflava (tawny-flanked prinia) is the source of this 373-nucleotide long non-coding RNA. RefSeq lists it as uncharacterized. The record is from RefSeq and is a predicted model, not a curated record. NCBI's taxonomy places the organism in Eukaryota, Metazoa, Chordata, Aves, Passeriformes, Cisticolidae. The transcript is spliced from 3 exons.